GGGGCUCGUGAUAUCUCAUCUCGCCGCCGUCGCGAGGCGGACGAGGGAUGGAUGAGGUUACCUGGAAAAAAUCGGGCGAUCGUAGGCGGGCGAACCUCGCCAACGAACGAUCGGACAUGGGAUAACGGAAGAGGGCGUCGGCUCGACUUCGUCGGUUCCUCGGGCCGAGGCACGUACGGUGAAUAGGGACGGUCGGGGCCGCCCGUACCGGGUCGUGAGAGGUGAAAUUCUAGGAUCGACCGAGACGAACCGCCGCGAAAGCAUUCGGCAAGGACGCUUUCAUUAAUCAAGAACGAAAGUCGGGGGGAUCGAAGACGAUCAGAUACCGUCGUAGUCCCGACCGUAAACGAUGCCGACCGAGGGCCCGGAGGAGUUACGUACGACCCUCCGGGCCCUCCCGCGAGAAAUCAGGAGUAUUCGGGUUCCGGGGGGAGUAUGGUCGCAAGGCCGAAACUUAAAGGAAUUGACGGAAGGGCACCACCAGGAGUGGAAUCUGCGGCUUAAUUUGACUCAACGCGGGAAAAACUCACCAGGUCAGGACACGGUAAGGAUUGACGGACUGAAGGCUC
RNAcentral lists this ribosomal RNA (569 nucleotides) under uncultured eukaryote. Its description in RNAcentral is "bacterial SSU rRNA". It matches the Rfam family "Eukaryotic small subunit ribosomal RNA", at positions 695 to 1257 of the family's 1831-position model. The record is from RNAcentral.